This 380-nucleotide ribosomal RNA is filed under the name uncultured bacterium. RNAcentral describes it as "bacterial SSU rRNA". It matches the Rfam family "Bacterial small subunit ribosomal RNA", at positions 29 to 400 of the family's 1533-position model. The record is from RNAcentral.
AACGAACGCUGGCGGCGCGCUUAAUACAUGCAAGUCGAACGAGAAGGUGUAGCAAUACACUUGUAAAGUGGCGAACGGGUGAGGAAUACAUGGGUAACCUACCCUCGAGUGGGGAACAACCAGCCGAAAGGUUGGCUAAUACCGCGUACGCUUCCGGGUCUUCGGAUUCGGAAGGAAAGUCAUACCGUGGGUAUGACGCUCAAGGAUGGGCUCACGUCCUAUCAGCUUGUUGGUAGGGGUAACGGCCACCAAGGCUCCGACGGUAGCUGGUCUGAGAGGACGAUCAGCCACACUGGCACUGCGACACGGGCCAGACUCCUACGGGAGGCAGCAGUGAGGAAUAUUGCGCAAUGGGCGAAAGCCUGACGCAGCGACGCCGC